Long non-coding RNA from Passer montanus (Eurasian tree sparrow), 242 nucleotides. RefSeq lists it as uncharacterized. The record is from RefSeq and is a predicted model, not a curated record. Lineage: Eukaryota; Metazoa; Chordata; Aves; Passeriformes; Passeridae. The transcript has 3 exons.
CUUCCUUCCCCUUUGGCCAAAGAGCCGCCACCCAGGGGACAGCCACACCCGACAGCGAGUGACAGCCAGUGCACAUGGCUGGGGACAGCGGGAUGGCCGGGAAGGUGGCGCUGCUCCUGUGGGCCCAGACCCUCGGCCUCGCUGGUGCCCAGACCACCCAGCUCCUGGUGGAGCCCCCCUGGAGGCCGGCGGUGCUGUGGGACCGGGUGAUACUGACUUGCCAGGGCUCGGGGAGCUCCUGG